AAAAUUCAGCCUCCCUAGGAACAAAAAAACCUGAUUCUGACUUCAGCCUGAAAAUUGUGUGUGGCAUUUGUCGGGGCCGAUUUAGACCUGAGCUGAAUUCUGUGUAAUUUCGCCAUUUGAAGUGUGGUUCGCUGGUUCUUGGCAGUAAAUGACUCUUCAAGCACUUGAAGAGCUGAGAUCACGAGACAACCACAUAACCAAGUGGCAAAAAGAGACAAGCCGGCUGAGGGGAACAGACACACAGAAGCUGUUUUGCAUUUGGCAGAGCAAGGAAGAAAAAGUGACCACCAUAGAAGUGGAAAAAUUAAGAAAGCAG
Artibeus jamaicensis (Jamaican fruit-eating bat) is the source of this 316-nucleotide long non-coding RNA. RefSeq lists it as uncharacterized. The transcript is spliced from 3 exons. The record is from RefSeq and is a predicted model, not a curated record. NCBI's taxonomy places the organism in Eukaryota, Metazoa, Chordata, Mammalia, Chiroptera, Phyllostomidae.